CAGAAACUCAAAGGAAUUGACGGGGCCCGCACAAGCGGAGGAGCAUGUGGUUUAAUUCGAUGAUACGCGAGGAACCUUACCUGGGCUCGAACGUAAGAUGACUGUAGGUGAAAGCUUACAUCUCUUCGGAGCAUUUUACGAGGUGCUGCAUGGUUGUCGUCAGCUCGUGCCGUGAGGUGUCGGGUUAAGUCCCAUAACGAGCGCAACCCUACCUUUAGUUGCCAUCAGGUAAUGCUGGGGACUCUAAAGGAACUGCCUACGCAAGUAGUGAGGAAGGCGGGGAUGACGUCAAAUCAGCACGGCCCUUACGUCCAGGGCUACACACGUGCUACAAUGGCCGAUACAGAGGGCAGCUACCUGGUGACAGGAUGCAAAUCUCCAAAGUCGGUCUCAGUUCGGAUCGGAGUCUGCAACCCGACUCCGUGAAGUUGGAUUCGCUAGUAAUCGCGCAUCAGCCAUGGCGCGGUGAAUACGUUCCCGGGCCUU
This 486-nucleotide ribosomal RNA is filed under the name uncultured Sphingobacteriales bacterium. RNAcentral's name for it is "bacterial SSU rRNA". It matches the Rfam family "Bacterial small subunit ribosomal RNA", at positions 894 to 1382 of the family's 1533-position model. The record is from RNAcentral. Lineage: Bacteria; Pseudomonadati; Bacteroidota; Sphingobacteriia; Sphingobacteriales.